ACCCAUGGCUGCCGCCUCGGAGCCCCACGAGCCGGAGAAAAAGCCCUUCAAGCUCCUAGGUAUUUUAGAUGUUGAGAACACUCCAUGCGCUCGAGAAUCUAUACUGUAUGGCUCACUAGGAUCUAUUGUGACUGGACUUGGACAUUUCUUGGUGACCAGUUCCACUGUAGGUAUAAUUUUGCUAAGCAGAGGAUCCAGGAAAGAAUUGCCAGAGAAGGAAUAAAAAACAAGAUUUUAUAUGAAAGCACCCACCUUGAUCCUGAAAGAAAAACGAAGAGCAGUAACAGCAGCUGAGCGACUUCAUCAGCUUUAAACCCACAACUAUGCUUCCUUGUGAAUCAACCAUAAAUUAAACUCAAGUGUGUCAACUGUA
Molecule: long non-coding RNA, 373 nt
Filed under: Rattus norvegicus (Norway rat)
Lineage: Eukaryota; Metazoa; Chordata; Mammalia; Rodentia; Muridae
Description: long non-coding RNA NONRATT008500
Source: RNAcentral